CUGUGAUGCCCUUAGUUAUCCUAGGUCGCACGCGCCAUACAAUGUGGCGCACAACGAGUUUCCUAGGCCGAUAGGAUUUAAGAGACACUGGGCAAUCUGAGAGAGCGCUACGUGACUGGGCUAGACUUUUGUAAUUGUUGGUCUUGAACGAGGAAUGCCUAGUAAUCGUAGGUCAUUAUCCUGCGAUGAUUAUGUCCCUGCCCUUUGUACACACCGCCCGUCGCUCCUGCCGUGGCUCGUGCCGGUGAAGAGGGGGAGGCAGCGUCAACGGAGCAACAUCUGAUUGUACGUGGAGCCCCUCUGAACCUUCGCGAGUAGAGGAAGGAGAAGUCGUAACAAGGUUUUCGUAGGUGAACCUGCGAAAGGAUCAUUA
RNAcentral lists this ribosomal RNA (373 nucleotides) under Caulerpa chemnitzia var. peltata. RNAcentral describes it as "bacterial SSU rRNA". It matches the Rfam family "Eukaryotic small subunit ribosomal RNA", at positions 1462 to 1831 of the family's 1831-position model. The record is from RNAcentral. Lineage: Eukaryota; Viridiplantae; Chlorophyta; Ulvophyceae; Bryopsidales; Caulerpaceae.